GACCAGACUCCUACGGGAGGCAGCAGUGGGGAAUAUUGCACAAUGGGCGCGAGCCUGAUGCAGCCACGCCGCGUGUAUGAAGAAGGCCUUCGGGUUGUAAAGUACUUUCAGCGGGGAGGAAGGCGAUAAGGUUAAUAACCUUGUCGAUUGACGUUACCCGCAGAAGAAGCACCGGCUAACUCCGUGCCAGCAGCCGCGGUAAUACGGAGGGUGCAAGCGUUAAUCGGAAUUACUGGGCGUAAAGCGCACGCAGGCGGUCUGUCAAGUCGGAUGUGAAAUACCCGGGCUCAACCUGGGAUCUGCAUUCGAAGCUGGCAGGCUGGAGUAUUGUAGAGGGGGGUAGAAUUCCAGGUGUAGCGGUGAAAUGCGUAGAGAUCUGGAGGAAGACCGGUGGCGAAGGCGGCCCCCUGGACAAAGACUGACGCUCAGGUGCGAAAGCGUGGGGAGCAAACAGGAUUAGAUACCCUCGUACUA
RNAcentral lists this ribosomal RNA (474 nucleotides) under uncultured bacterium. RNAcentral describes it as "bacterial SSU rRNA". It matches the Rfam family "Bacterial small subunit ribosomal RNA", at positions 329 to 797 of the family's 1533-position model. The record is from RNAcentral.